This is a long non-coding RNA of Tachysurus fulvidraco (yellow catfish), 1642 nucleotides long. RefSeq lists it as uncharacterized. The transcript is spliced from 5 exons. The record is from RefSeq and is a predicted model, not a curated record. NCBI's taxonomy places the organism in Eukaryota, Metazoa, Chordata, Actinopteri, Siluriformes, Bagridae.
GGAGACGCGCUUGGUUCCUGCGCGGUUCCAUAGAGACAGCGGUGCGGACUGAUACAUUUUGGGUGAUGCGGCUUAUUAAAUAUAUGAUAAAUAGCCCGGUUUUCUGCGCGCCAAAUAUAAUGUGUGGUGGGAGAGCAGGAGAAAAGACCGACAUGAGGGACUGUCACUGUCACUGUCACUGUGGGACACUUGACAGCUCUGUGUCUCUCAGGGUAAGAGUUACAGAUAAUAGGAAUUGUGAAUAAUGUGAGUCUAUAUACACAUAGAUGUUAGUUCAACAAUAUUUCACAAUUUUAUAGCAAUAUCAUUAACAAAGCUGCACGAACAAACAUUUUUUUUAAUUGAAUUGUGCGCGCAUGCGCCACAUGGACCUACGGGGUUUCCUUUCUCAUUAUCAGCGUCGCCACGUGUUCAGGCUGCCAAACAGGAGCGGGACAAACACGUGACAGAGACCAGGUGAGAACAUGGCUGGAGUUGGGUUCUACAGUCGGAGGGCACCGAUGAAGGGAACGGCACAGAGUGGAUCAGAUUCAUGGACAUGGUUCCUGUCAUCGGGAAAGAAAAGUCCAUUGACUAUCGUGAUGUAUUCAGCAGUUGACCCAAAUAGAGUAUAAACCAGCAGCAGCCGCAACCACAAUUUCUAAUGUGAGAGAGGUCCCAACGGGGGAGACUGCUGAGCAAGCAAGAGAAGAAAGGUUCCAAAAAAACAAGUUAUCUUCAACUGAAAAAGAACAUUGGAGAUUUUCAGUAGUUAUAUUAAGUUGUAUUGUCUUUAUUGUUUUUAUACAUUUUAUUUUUGUAUAUAGUUAUUGACUAUUGGUUUUGUAUGCUGUCACAUCUAUGUGGACGAAUUUGCAAAAGAGAAAUGGAUCAGUAAUUAACACUUUCCCCAGAAAGACACACUCUCAUAGAAUGUAUGAAUAUGUAUGUAUAUAAUGAAUUUGUAUAUACUGUAUGUUGUCUUUGUUCUUUUUAUACUGUAUGUUGUCUUUAUUCUUUUUAUACUGUAUAUUGUCUUUGUUCUUUUUGAGAAAGUUGUUGUCGUUGAAAGUGGAACUGAGCGAUCAAAAAGAGCGUGUUCAUCCUCAAAUUUUAUUCUAAAUGAAUUUGUAUAUACUGUUAUUGCCUUUUAUUCUUUUUAUAUUGUUUUUGUAUAUAGUUGUCUUUAUUUUUGUUUUCCUUUUGUAUAGACUGUUUAUUCCUUUUAUAUUUUACUUUUGUAUAUACUGUUUAUUCCUUUUUAUAUUUUUGUUUAUUCUUUUUGUUUUGUUAUACGGUGGUUUGCUUUGUUUCUGAUGAAUUCUACACGAUUGCAAAUGCCAUAUGGCAAAUUUAGCAAAGCACUGUGUGAUGCUUUUUUUUUAAAUGUGCUGGACUUCCAAUAUCUCAGUGAGGAGACCCCUAAGAAAAUGGGUGACUACAUAUUCAUACGUUCUAUAUUAUAUGAAUUUGUGUAUAUAAUGCGAUAUAAUGUUUUAUUCUGUUUAUAUGUUUUUGUACAUACUGUAGUUUUGUCUUUUGUUUUUGUACAUACUGUAUUGUCUUUAUUCUUGAUAUAUAUAUUAAAUAAAAUUUUAUUUUUUGCUGCUGUAACAUUUCCCCAUUGUGGGACGAAUAAAGAUGUAUCUUAUCUUACAGGAAA